GAUGAACGCUAGCGGCAGGCUUAACACAUGCAAGUCGAGGGGUAUUUCUCUUCGGAUAGCGAGACCGGCGCACGGGUGCGUAACGCGUAUGCAAUCUACCUUUUACAGAGGGAUAGCCCAGAGAAAUUUGGAUUAAUACCUCAUAGUAUAUAGACUCGGCAUCGAGAUUAUAUUAAAGUCACAACGGUAAAAGAUGAGCAUGCGUCCCAUUAGCUAGUUGGUAAGGUAACGGCUUACCAAGGCUACGAUGGGUAGGGGUCCUGAGAGGGAGAUCCCCCACACUGGUACUGAGACACGGACCAGACUCCUACGGGAGGCAGCAGUGAGGAAUAUUGGACAAUGGGCGCAAGCCUGAUCCAGCCAUGCCGCGUGCAGGAUGACGGUCCUAUGGAUUGUAAACUGCUUUUAUACGAGAAGAAACACUGCUACGUGUAGCAGCUUGACGGUAUCGUAAGAAUAAGGAUCGGCUAACUCCGUG
RNAcentral lists this ribosomal RNA (478 nucleotides) under uncultured bacterium. RNAcentral's name for it is "partial 16S ribosomal RNA". It matches the Rfam family "Bacterial small subunit ribosomal RNA", at positions 28 to 507 of the family's 1533-position model. The record is from RNAcentral.